GCAUGGCUUUGGAUUUAUGGCAGGCUCGACACCUGGGCCUCCCACAGUGCCCCACGCCAGAGCAAACUGUAGCCCUGAACCACUGACUGGCCUCCUUGCUCAUAAUGGAAGUGGUCUGCACUGUG
This 125-nucleotide small nucleolar RNA is filed under the name Dasypus novemcinctus (nine-banded armadillo). Its description in RNAcentral is "Small nucleolar RNA SNORA42/SNORA80 family (ENSDNOG00000044182.1)". It matches the Rfam family "Small nucleolar RNA SNORA42/SNORA80 family". From Rfam's summary of the family: The members of this family belong to the H/ACA class of snoRNAs that guide the sites of modification of uridines to pseudouridines. Human ACA42 (SNORA42) was cloned from HeLa cells by immunoprecipitation with anti-GAR1 antibody. Its is predicted to guide the pseudouridylation of residues U109 and U572 of 18S rRNA. Lineage: Eukaryota; Metazoa; Chordata; Mammalia; Cingulata; Dasypodidae. The record is from RNAcentral.